GAUGAAGAACGUAGUGAAAUGCGAUAAGUAGUGUGAAUUGCAGAAUUCAGUGAAUCAUCGAAUCUUUGAACGCACCUUGCACCCUUUGGCAUUCCGAAGGGUAUGCUCGUUUGAGUGUCAUUGUACUCUCACUCUCCCGAUCUUUGGAUCGGGAGUGGUGGACUUGGGUGUUGCUGCUUUACCGUGGCUCACCUCAAAUGGAUUCGUGCAACUCCUGGUUGGACAUAGUACGGCGUGAUAAGUGUCUUCGCCGGCACCUCACUAGAGGGUGGCUGACCGGGAGCUCUGUGCUUCAAACCGUCUUCGGACAACAACUGACAACUUGACCUCAAAUCGAGUAGGACCACCCGCUGAACUUAAGCAUAUCAAUAAGCGGAGGA
Molecule: unclassified non-coding RNA, 380 nt
Filed under: soil metagenome
Description: partial contains 5.8S ribosomal RNA, internal transcribed spacer 2, and large subunit ribosomal RNA
Rfam family: 5.8S ribosomal RNA (bases 1-120)
Source: RNAcentral